Molecule: long non-coding RNA, 1331 nt
Filed under: Homo sapiens (human)
Lineage: Eukaryota; Metazoa; Chordata; Mammalia; Primates; Hominidae
Description: HSALNT0216914
Source: RNAcentral
UCCAGUACUAUGUUGAAUAACAGUGAUGAAAGUGGGCAUCUUUGUCAUGUUCCAGAUCGUAGAGGAAAGGCUCUCAGUUUUUCCUCAUUUAGUAUCAUACUGUGGGACUGUCAUAUAUGGCUUUAUUAUGUUGAGCUGUUUCCAUGGAGUCGGGAGAAGAGGAGCCUGUGAAGCUUUGCAGCCCAAAGGCUUUCUCGUUUUCUGCUGUGGCAAGGACAAAUGCAUGCAGCAGAUUGACUUAGGGUGUGACUGGCUGGCCAGCGCCGUCCGCAUCUCGAACUCACCUGGACACAUGGACACCAGGCGUCCGCUGGCAACUCUCUUUAUUCUGGGUCCUGUGCUGGUCAUUGCAUUUGCAGGAUAAAGCUGCCCUCUCAGAAGAGGUCCUCAUGUUUAGAAAGUGUAUUUUAGCUGUGCUGGUCAUUGCAUGUGCAGGAUAAAACUUCUGCCCUCUCAGAAGAGGUCCUUGUGUUUAGAAAGCGUAUUUCAGCUGCCUCUGGGCCCUCACACCCCGUCAUGUAUUCACUUCCUUCCAUGUGACCUCUGCCCAAUGUCAACUGUUUUUGGCAUCUUCACAUAUAUUUUGGAUUCUGUGGGUUUUAUCUGUUUUCCUAAUUUCACCAAAAAAUGAAAGUUUCCAUUAAAAAAAAAACUGUACAUUGUGAUCCAGCGAUCCCACUACUGGGUAUUUAUCCAAAGGACAUGAUGUCAGUAUGUUGAAGAGACAUCUGCAGCCCCAUGUUUACUGCAGCACCAUCCACAACAGCUAAGAAAUGGAAUCAACCUAAAUGUCCAUAGUUGAUGCAUGGAUAAAGCAAAUGAGGUCCAUUGACACAAUGGAAUACUCUUUAGACUUUAAAAAGAAUGAAACCCUGUCAUUUGCAACAACGGAUGGAUCUGGAGGACAGUGUGUUAACUAAAAUAAGCCAGGCAUAGAAAGCAAAUACUGUAUGAUCUCAUUCAUCUGUGGAAUCUUAAAAAGCUGAACUCAUACGUAGAGUAUAGAGUGGUAGUUACCAGGGCCAGGGGCCGGGGUGGGGGAUGCUGGUGAAAGGAUGCACAGCCUGAGCUGGCAGGAGGGUGAGGUCGGGAGCUUGGCUAUGCAUGACGGUGACCACAGUUGACAACAAUGUAUUGCAUUCUUAAAAAAUACUAAGAGAGUGGAUUUUAAGCAUUCUCGCCACAAAAGAUGACAAGUAUGUGAAGUAAUGCGUGUUAAAUUAGCUCAACGUUGCUGUUCCACGAUGUAUACAUAUUUUAAAGCAUCAUGUUGUACACAAUAAAUAUAUACGGCUUCAUUUGUCAAUUAAAACAUGAAUUAAAAAAGAAAA